Equus quagga is the source of this 2861-nucleotide long non-coding RNA. RefSeq lists it as uncharacterized. Lineage: Eukaryota; Metazoa; Chordata; Mammalia; Perissodactyla; Equidae. The transcript is spliced from 3 exons. The record is from RefSeq and is a predicted model, not a curated record.
CCCGGCUCCCUCAGACGGAGGAAGAAGGGGUGGGGUGGGAAAGAGCAGAGGCCACCGCGAGUGACCGGCCGCGUUCCAGUUCUCGAGGUUGGAAGAAUGCACAUCACCAAGAGUGAACCCGAGUGUCACCUGUGUACUCUGAGUGAUGGUGUCAGCGCCACAAGUGCUAUCUGUGUCCAAGGACCCAGCUACAUUAAGAGGUCUCGCCACUCCACGGAAAGGCACCUGUGAGGCAUGCCCAGCUUGUCCCCAGGACCAGGUGAGGGGGAUCACGGACACAUGUGCCCCAAGGAGCCAGCCCUGAGCACACUCUGCAUCAUAUGGGUCCUCACAGCACCCACACAGCAGUUAUCACCAUCCCAUGCCUCAGCCUGGCAGGAGGGCUGCCCCUGCACCUGCCCUCACGCCACAGGGAGACUCUCUGAGCAGGACCACUUCACUCUCAACAAGCCCAGGUCCUGAGGGGACAACUAGCACCUUGGUUGAACUCCCAGAGCCACCGCCCUCCAGCUUUGCAAUCAGGGCUUCCCUGGAGGCCGCAGGGUGGGGACGAAGGAGUGGAGGCCUCUGCUCAGCCCAUGUCCCCUCUGGCCAUUGGGGCCACUGUCCUGGGACAUGAGGCCUUGUUGGAACCACCAUGGCAGUCUGGGUGCCCCUGAAAGACUCUGCCCAGGCCAGAGGCCGCAGUCAACAGGGGACACUGAGGCAGCCCAGCGUACUCAGGGCCGAGGGGCACGUCCUGCCUGGCGGUCCCAUGCAGAUGACCCGAGGAACUGAGGAGGCUGACCUGCUCUCGACGGGCUCAGCACUCAGAGCGGCAGGAUCGGGGUUGACCCCACGCUCUGGGGGCGGGGCACGGCCUGCAGCCCCUCUGCAGUAAGAACCCCUGUCAUGCUACAGGAAUCUGGGCCUCUGUGGGGCAAGCACCAUGCCUGAAGCAUCAGGAAGCCUUUGUCACCCCGUACCUGGGACACUCGGUGCAUUUGAGACGUGGUUUCCUCCAGAAAGUGGUCCCCACGUCUUUGCUCGUCAACACCUCCCAUCCAGAUUUCAGAGGUGGUCGUCUGGACAGUCACGCUGGCCGUGCCUGUCUCCCGAGGGGUUGCCGUCCAGCCCCGCUGCAGCCUGUCUGGCCGUGUCUGCAUCUGGGGUGAGUCCCUGGGGGAAACCUGCGACCUGUGACCUGAGGCCCCGCCCCCUCCUCCCGGGCCUGGGACCCUGAGACCGGCAGCUGCAAGGGACGCCCAGUUCAUGGAGUGGUCCUCAGACUUGCUCCUGACCCCAGGGCCUCAGGCCUCAUAGAACAAGACCAUGCGAGCAGGGCAGGCUCUGCGGGCACACUCCUCAGGCCUCCCGGGCCUUGCACACUCACACUCCUUCUGUUCCCCUCUCUGGGGGAGUCAACCCAAGAACAGAGCUCUCUCCAUGGGAGGAUCCCAGAUGAUGCGCUGAGGACCAUGCGCCGAGAAGGUGGAGGCCGUCCGAGACACCAGUGCAGGUGAACUCAUCCCUCCUGGCAGAUGCCACAGCCAUCUUGGCUGCCCCGGCCAGUACUCAUGGGGCAGAUGCUGCUGGGGGCUCUGCGUCUGCCUGGACGCUCGGACAGCCCUGUGAGGACGUCCGAAGCCCCCAGUGUAGGCUGAGGAGACCAGGCGGCUGGCCCAGCUGACAGCCAAGCCAGGCCCCAGCCUGUUCCGCUGACCCCAGUGACCGCCAUGCAUCAGGGCCACAGCCACCCAGGUGAAGGGAACCAGGAGCCAGGGCUCAGGCCACGUCUCGGCCACCUUCCAGUCUUGUGGCCGUGUGCCAAGCACAUUUUGCACCCUCCCUGCAUGCUUCCUACAAAAUGGGACAGCAAGAGCACUGGCCUCUGCUGGCCAUGAUCGGGGGUCCAGGGGACAAUGAACACGGAAGUGCCCUGCAGACCGCUCCCUGGAGAAGGACAGCUGUCACUAUCCCCUUCUUGUCACACCCUCUGGAGCAGAAGCAAAGGGGGAGGAGAGGCAGGCCCCUUCUGCCCCCAGGGAGGAGCCCAGCACGCAGUGAGGACACUAGGCAGAAGGGGAGGCCGGUGUCUGGCUCAGAGACGACGGAUGGGGAGAGGGUUAAGCCGGAAAAUUGAUCCUAUGGGGAAGCCACCGGACGGAAGCCAGAUGGUUCCCUCACUGACACCCAGCUGCGGAGUCUGCCUCCCUCAAGGCCUGCUAGCUUCCUUUCCCGCCUUUGGAGAUCAGAGGAAGGGUCACCCCGCCCGCGGCUGGGGACUGGGGGGGUAAGGGGGGACCUGCAGGGCAGGAAACCGGCUUUGAAAAGCGCAUUUAAGGGACAGGCAAGUCCACGAUCGAUCGGGAAGCACCUUCUGAGAAAACAGAAGCUCUCAGAGAGUGAGACACCCAGAAGUGCAAGAUGAAAGUCUCUUUGUGUGAAUGCCACGGCUCCCGGCCUGGGCGUCCGUCCCCCCUCGAGGCCUGGAAACUACAAAGGGACAGGACCCUCCGGGAGGAGAUGGCCCUCCUCCAGCCCGAGGCCAGCAAGGAAGUCUCUGCUUCACCAGGAAAGGGAGGCCGUCUCAAACCUCAAAGAUGCAGGUCAAUACGAGGAAAUGUGCCCUGCCACGUGUUGCACGAGUCCUUUCAUACAAAAUGUCCAGAACAGGCAACUCCAGAGAGACAGGAAGCACACUGGUGGCUGCCAGGCACUGGGGAGAGGCAGCUGGGAGGAACUGUGAAUGGGGAUGGGGUGUUCUUGGGGUUGAUGAAAAUGUUUGGCAUUAGAUGGUGGUGUUGGUUGUACAAUAUCGUGAAUCUACUAAAAGCCGCCGACCUGUGUACUGUGAAAUGAAGAAUUUUAUGUUGUGUCAA